ACACGUAGGGGGCGAGCGUUAUCCGGAUUUACUGGGCGUAAAGCGCGCGCAGGCGGCUUCGUAAGUCGGACGUGAAAGCCCCCGGCUCAACCGGGGGAGGCCGUUCGAUACUGCGAGGCUUGAGGUCGGGAGAGGGGCGUGGAAUUCCCGGUGUAGCGGUGGAAUGCGUAGAUAUCUGGAGGAACACCAGCGGCGAAGGCGGCGCUCUGGGCCGGUACUGACGCUAAGGAGCGAAAGCCUGGGGAGCAAACAGGAUUAGAAACCCCGGUAGUCC
RNAcentral lists this ribosomal RNA (274 nucleotides) under uncultured bacterium. RNAcentral describes it as "partial 16S ribosomal RNA". It matches the Rfam family "Bacterial small subunit ribosomal RNA", at positions 523 to 796 of the family's 1533-position model. The record is from RNAcentral.